Paramuricea clavata is the source of this 382-nucleotide non-coding RNA. Lineage: Eukaryota; Metazoa; Cnidaria; Anthozoa; Malacalcyonacea; Plexauridae. The record is from the annotation of a GenBank genome assembly.
AUGGCAAGUAUUCUAUAUGUAUAUACAUAAACUUGUGGUUAGAGCUCGACAACUUAUGGUUACAGCUGGCCUCUGUAACUCAAUUGGUUAAAGCGCUUCACCGGAAUCGUAUAUGGGCCACAGAUUCGAUUCCUGCCAGGGACCUGUAGUUGCAUUUUUCGCAGCUGUUUCAGAUUACGUCUAAUAAAUGUAUAUAAAUUUCUACUCGAUAAUUUCCAUCAACAAGACCCUGAAUCGAGUGAGAUGCCAACAAAAUAUCGAAAUUGUUUUCAUAUAUACACUCGGUACAAAAAAUACUUUUUAAAUUUUAAGAUAAAACAUUUCCUAUUGGUCUGUUCGCAGACACAUGCAUGCAGUAUUAAUACUAUCACACGAGAAUUUG